RNAcentral lists this ribosomal RNA (445 nucleotides) under uncultured bacterium. RNAcentral's name for it is "bacterial SSU rRNA". It matches the Rfam family "Bacterial small subunit ribosomal RNA", at positions 354 to 796 of the family's 1533-position model. The record is from RNAcentral.
GUGAGGAAUAUUGCGCAAUGGAGGCAACUCUGACGCAGCCAUGCCGCGUGCAGGAAGAAGGCGCUACGCGUUGUAAACUGCUUUUAACCGGGAAGAAACCCCAGGACGUGUCCUGGGUUGACGGUACCGGAGGAAUAAGCACCGGCUAACUUCGUGCCAGCAGCCGCGGUAAUACGACGGGUGCAAGCGUUAUCCGGAUUCAUUGGGUUUAAAGGGUGCGUAGGCGGAGCGUUAAGUCAGUGGUGAAAUCCUGCAGCUUAACUGUAGACUUGCCAUUGAUACUGGCGCUCUUGAGUGCGCUUGAAGUGGGCGGAAUGUGCCGUGUAGCGGUGAAAUGCUUAGAUAUGGCACAGAACACCAAUUGCGAAGGCAGCUCACUAAGGCGAUACUGACGCUGAGGCACGAAAGCGUGGGGAUCGAACAGGAUUAGAAACCCCAGUAGUCC